RNAcentral lists this non-coding RNA (26 nucleotides) under Homo sapiens (human). Lineage: Eukaryota; Metazoa; Chordata; Mammalia; Primates; Hominidae. The record is from RNAcentral.
UGGAAUGCUGAGUUGGUCAUGAUUCC